This 572-nucleotide ribosomal RNA is filed under the name uncultured bacterium. Its description in RNAcentral is "bacterial SSU rRNA". It matches the Rfam family "Bacterial small subunit ribosomal RNA", at positions 100 to 689 of the family's 1533-position model. The record is from RNAcentral.
GACGGGUGAGUAACGCGUGGGUAACCUGCCUCACACAGGGGGAUAACAGUUGGAAACGGCUGCUAAUACCGCAUAAGCGCACAGUACCGCAUGGUACGGUGUGAAAAACUCCGGUGGUGUGAGAUGGACCCGCGUCUGAUUAGCUAGUUGGCAGGGCAACGGCCUACCAAGGCGACGAUCAGUAGCCGACCUGAGAGGGUGACCGGCCACAUUGGGACUGAGACACGGCCCAAACUCCUACGGGAGGCAGCAGUGGGGAAUAUUGCACAAUGGGGGAAACCCUGAUGCAGCGACGCCGCGUGAGCGAAGAAGUAUUUCGGUAUGUAAAGCUCUAUCAGCAGGGAAGAAGAAAUGACGGUACCUGACUAAGAAGCACCGGCUAAAUACGUGCCAGCAGCCGCGGUAAUACGUAUGGUGCAAGCGUUAUCCGGAUUUACUGGGUGUAAAGGGAGCGCACGCGGAAGGCUAAGUCUGAUGUGAAAGCCCGGGGCUCAACCCCGGUACUGCAUUGGAAACUGGUCAUCUAGAGUGUCGGAGGGGUAAGUGGAAUUCCUAGUGUAGCGGUGAAAUGC